AACGAACGCUGGCGGCAUGCCUAACACAUGCAAGUCGAACGAGACCUUCGGGUCUAGUGGCGCACGGGUGCGUAACACGUGGGAAUCUGCCCUUUGCUUCGGAAUAACAGUUAGAAAUGACUGCUAAUACCGGAUGAUGUCGAAAGACCAAAGAUUUAUCGGCAAAGGAUGAGCCCGCGUAGGAUUAGGUAGUUGGUGGGGUAAAGCCUACCAAGCCGACGAUCCUUAGCUGGUCUGAGAGGAUGAUCAGCCACACUGGGACUGAGACACGGCCCAG
RNAcentral lists this ribosomal RNA (277 nucleotides) under uncultured bacterium. Its description in RNAcentral is "partial 16S ribosomal RNA". It matches the Rfam family "Bacterial small subunit ribosomal RNA", at positions 29 to 334 of the family's 1533-position model. The record is from RNAcentral.